AACACCGUUUCAGGUGUACCCCUACAAGAGGGUUUUGAUGAGAGUUUAACGUUUGGCUGCCCCACAUCUUUGGAACAAGUUCAGAAAAGCUCGGGGAAACUUUCGAAGACUCCAUCAGAGGGACAUAAUGAAGAUAGAGUUGUCGACAUUUGCCACACUUGUGGUAAGUUGAAUUCAGACCACAAGUGUCUCCAGUUCCGUCUGGCGGUUUUCAAGAGGGGUAUUAUCUCUCGGAAGGAACCAAGUUUCGGCAUCUAUUUUAUUCCAUGUGACAAGUUUCACUCGGUGUUUGCUAAAAUAAGUCAAACAGAA
Long non-coding RNA from Orbicella faveolata, 312 nucleotides. Lineage: Eukaryota; Metazoa; Cnidaria; Anthozoa; Scleractinia; Merulinidae. The record is from RefSeq and is a predicted model, not a curated record.